Molecule: ribosomal RNA, 253 nt
Filed under: uncultured bacterium
Lineage: Bacteria
Description: partial 16S ribosomal RNA
Rfam family: Bacterial small subunit ribosomal RNA
Source: RNAcentral
UACAGAGGUCCCAAGCGUUGUUCGGAUUCACUGGGCGUAAAGGGUGCGUAGGUGGUGAAGUAAGUCGGAUGUGAAAUCUCGGAGCUUAACUCCGAAACUGCAUUGGAAACUACUUUGCUCGAGGGUUGGAGGGGGGACUGGAAUUCUCGGUGUAGCAGUGAAAUGCGUAGAUAUCGAGAGGAACACCAGUGGCGAAGGCGAGUCCCUGGACAACUCCUGACACUGAGGCACGAAAGCCAGGGGAGCAAACGGG